Molecule: long non-coding RNA, 217 nt
Filed under: Panax ginseng (ginseng)
Lineage: Eukaryota; Viridiplantae; Streptophyta; Magnoliopsida; Apiales; Araliaceae
Description: long non-coding RNA (PGIN_LNC013758)
Source: RNAcentral
GAUUGUUUUGCAAUGAUCUGAUCUUGUCCACUGGUACUGGUUUCUACAUUGCUAUGUUCAUUUUACUGCGGGAAAACACUGUUUUUGCCAACUUGCAGAUAUUGAACCGAUCAGAUUUCAAUAUGAUAUUCACUAUGAUAUUGAGACUGUUUUAUGUUUUUGUACACUCAGUUGGAUAAUGGACAGCCGUGAUGAGUACAACAAGGAGCGCCUGGAU